This 1154-nucleotide ribosomal RNA is filed under the name Bacillus halotolerans. Its description in RNAcentral is "bacterial SSU rRNA". It matches the Rfam family "Bacterial small subunit ribosomal RNA", at positions 87 to 1234 of the family's 1533-position model. Lineage: Bacteria; Bacillati; Bacillota; Bacilli; Caryophanales; Bacillaceae. The record is from RNAcentral.
UGAUGUUAGCGGCGGACGGGUGAGUAACACGUGGGUAACCUGCCUGUAAGACUGGGAUAACUCCGGGAAACCGGGGCUAAUACCGGAUGCUUGUUUGAACCGCAUGGUUCAAACAUAAAAGGUGGCUUCGGCUACCACUUACAGAUGGACCCGCGGCGCAUUAGCUAGUUGGUGAGGUAAUGGCUCACCAAGGCAACGAUGCGUAGCCGACCUGAGAGGGUGAUCGGCCACACUGGGACUGAGACACGGCCCAGACUCCUACGGGAGGCAGCAGUAGGGAAUCUUCCGCAAUGGACGAAAGUCUGACGGAGCAACGCCGCGUGAGUGAUGAAGGUUUUCGGAUCGUAAAGCUCUGUUGUUAGGGAAGAACAAGUACCGUUCGAAUAGGGCGGUACCUUGACGGUACCUAACCAGAAAGCCACGGCUAACUACGUGCCAGCAGCCGCGGUAAUACGUAGGUGGCAAGCGUUGUCCGGAAUUAUUGGGCGUAAAGGGCUCGCAGGCGGUUCCUUAAGUCUGAUGUGAAAGCCCCCGGCUCAACCGGGGAGGGUCAUUGGAAACUGGGGAACUUGAGUGCAGAAGAGGAGAGUGGAAUUCCACGUGUAGCGGUGAAAUGCGUAGAGAUGUGGAGGAACACCAGUGGCGAAGGCGACUCUCUGGUCUGUAACUGACGCUGAGGAGCGAAAGCGUGGGGAGCGAACAGGAUUAGAUACCCUGGUAGUCCACGCCGUAAACGAUGAGUGCUAACUGUUAGGGGGUUUCCGCCCCUUAGUGCUGCAGCUAACGCAUUAAGCACUCCGCCUGGGGAGUACGGUCGCAAGACUGAAACUCAAAGGAAUUGACGGGGGCCCGCACAAGCGGUGGAGCAUGUGGUUUAAUUCGAAGCAACGCGAAGAACCUUACCAGGUCUUGACAUCCUCUGACAAUCCUAGAGAUAGGACGUCCCCUUCGCGGGCAGAGUGACAGGUGGUGCAUGGUUGUCUUCAUCUCCUGUCAUGAGAUGUUGGGUUAAGUCCCGCAACCACCGCAACCCUGGAUCUAAUUGCCACCAUUCAUUUGGCACUCUAAGGUGACUGCCGUGACAACCGCAGAAAAGUGGGGAUGAGGUCAAUCAUCAUGCCCUUAGAACCUGGCCUACACCGUGCUACAAUGAA